UAGGGUAUUGGCUUACCGUGGCAGUGACGGGUAACGGGGAAUUAGGGUUCGAUUCCGGAGAGGGAGCCUGAGAAACGGCUACCACAUCUAAGGAAGGCAGCAGGCGCGCAAAUUACCCAAUGAAAACAGUUUCGAGGUAGUGACGAGAAAUAACAAUACAGAGCAUUAAAUGUUUUGUAAUUGGAAUGGUGGGAAUCUAAACCCCUUUCAGAGUAACAAUUGGAGGGAAAGUCUGGUGCCAGCAGCCGCGGUAAUUCCAGCUCCAAUAGCGUAUAUUUGAGUUGUUGCAGUUAAAAAAGCUCGUAGUUGGAUUUCUGUGUCGGUUCUCGCGGAUGCCAUGUAGAGUAACUUUUACGGGUGUUGACAUGCGUUGAGUCGGUGCAUUUUCUCAGUUGGAAUAUUGUUUUGUGUGA
RNAcentral lists this ribosomal RNA (413 nucleotides) under Calyptospora gonzaguensis. RNAcentral's name for it is "SSU rRNA". It matches the Rfam family "Eukaryotic small subunit ribosomal RNA", at positions 329 to 760 of the family's 1831-position model. The record is from RNAcentral. Lineage: Eukaryota; Apicomplexa; Conoidasida; Eucoccidiorida; Calyptosporidae.